This 323-nucleotide small nuclear RNA is filed under the name Heterocephalus glaber (naked mole-rat). RNAcentral's name for it is "7SK RNA". It matches the Rfam family "7SK RNA". Rfam says of the family: 7SK was discovered as an abundant small nuclear RNA in the mid-70s but a possible function has only recently been suggested. Two independent studies have found that 7SK RNA binds the CDK9/cyclin T complex (known as elongation factor P-TEFb). P-TEFb activates transcription by phosphorylating the C-terminal domain of RNA polymerase II. Lineage: Eukaryota; Metazoa; Chordata; Mammalia; Rodentia; Bathyergidae. The record is from Rfam by way of RNAcentral.
AAAUGUGAGGGCGAUCUGGCUGUGACAUCUGUCACCCCGUUAAUCACCAGCAUCCAUUUGGCUGAUCUCGCUGGAUAGGCAGGUGCUCCCUUCCUCUCUCGCCGUGCCACGUGCGUCCCUCGUGAUACUGCAUGCUCUGGUGGAAGAGGACGAUCACUCUGAUACAGGAGGACAGUUUCUUUGGUCAAGGGUAUAUAAGUAGUUUCACUCCCUUGCUAGAACCUUUAAAUAAUGUAUUAUAUAUCCACAUGUGCUGUGAUCUAUAAACUUAAAAUUAUUUAUGCAGAUCUGACGAUAUACAAUGUGUUUGAGAGUACAUUGUU